This 501-nucleotide unclassified non-coding RNA is filed under the name Hevea brasiliensis (rubber tree). The record is from RNAcentral. Lineage: Eukaryota; Viridiplantae; Streptophyta; Magnoliopsida; Malpighiales; Euphorbiaceae.
UUGAAAGUAUAUUGCAUAUUGAAAAGUAAGGAAAUUAUUCACAACUGGAAAGUAUUACAGACGGUAGGUUAUAGAGGAUCAACCAUACAUUUUAUGACGAUUUGAUUGUUAUAGAUUUUCAUUUUGUUUCUCUAUCAUUAUUAGAUAUGUUAUUAGGGAUAUGAACCAUUUGGUCAAAACCCAAAUUAUUGAUCUGAAAUUAAUACUUCAGCUUAGUCAGUUCCAUUAUUUAAAAGUAGCUUGGUCUGGUUUUUAAAUUAUUGCAAUUUGAUUUUCAGGCUUCUACUUUAUUUAUCUAAGAAAACCUAAACAUAUGAAACAAUCUAAUUACAUUUUAUGAUUAAUUUUUGAUUUUGUCAAUUAAGCCAAGCCUAGUUGGUCCCUUAUAACCUUUUACGGGUUUGAGUACUGGGGCAUCACAGGUACGGGUCUCUCAUCCACUACUACAGUGGGACUAAUGUAAUGAAAAGGGAAGGGUGUUAUGACUAAGGGAUGGGAUGA